GGGUCCUUCACUUCAAGCAGUGCCACCACUGUUUUGCAUGGUGAUAUCCAAGGCACCUUCUCAAACCCAGCCUGAGAUACAAAUAUCUCCCAUCUGUCUCCCUCUGAGCUCAGAGCUCUCUGCCUCCAGCUCUGCCAGGGUCACAAUGCUCUCCCACUCCUUGCUCCUGUGCAUCCUACUGCUCUGGCCUCAAGAAUCCCAGGCAGCCAUUGAGCUGACCCACUCCCCAGACUCCCUGUCUGUGGCUGCAGGAGAUCAAGUCACCAUCAACUGCAAGGCCAGUUCCAGCAUUAGCAAGUACAUGGCCUGGUACCAGCAGAAACCAGGACAGUCUCCCAGGCUCCUGAUCUAUUAUGCUUCCACCCUGCAGUCUGGGGUCCCUGCCCCGUUCAGUGGCAGUGGCUCUGGGACAGAUUUCACCCUGACCAUCAGUGCAGUGGAGGCGGGGGACGUGGCAGAUUACUACUGUUUUCAUUAUUAUGGUACUCCAUUCCCAUAG
This is a non-coding RNA of Phascolarctos cinereus (koala), 499 nucleotides long. The record is from the annotation of a RefSeq genome assembly. Lineage: Eukaryota; Metazoa; Chordata; Mammalia; Diprotodontia; Phascolarctidae.